This 1629-nucleotide long non-coding RNA is filed under the name Elaeis guineensis (African oil palm). RNAcentral describes it as "long non-coding RNA (EGUI_LNC025579)". The record is from RNAcentral. Lineage: Eukaryota; Viridiplantae; Streptophyta; Magnoliopsida; Arecales; Arecaceae.
UUCCUUGGAUUGUAAACAAUAUGACUGCAAUAUUCCUUCAAUCCACUCUAUCACUACCAAUACACAUUGUUUCACCUACUUUAUAAGUCCAGACAAAAUAAGACAAUCAGAAGUUGCAUGCUUAUCGACAGAAGAAAGAAAAAUCACAUAGCAGUGCUUGUGGGACCACAUUGAUAUAGUGUAAUGGUGAAAGUUCAGCAUCUGGUUAUGCACCUAUUUAUGGUUCUCCAUUGUUGAACUUGAAAUUUGAAAAGGUAGAAUAGGGUAAUACCACGUGCUUUUCUGACAAUAUAUAUGCAUAUUCAUAUCCAAUAAAUUAGUGAAUCAGGUCUUACGAAGUGAACUUGCAAACAAGACAAAUCUUCAUCAGACAUCAGUGACCAACCAUACUACUGGUCAUCAGAUGCUGCAUGCAAAGCUAUCAAUGCAGUAAUAUUCUAGUCAUUUAAGAAUUAAGAUAGCAAAAUGUCGAACAAGGGAGCAAUUAAUGUCAGAAGAUUGGUUGUACUGCCACAUGGCAAACCAUGAGGAAACUAAAAUGGCAUCAUCAGUAAGCAAGCAUUGUGGAAAUGUAAAUCAAGCCUCCAAUGAUGAGUAUCCAGAAAUUUCAUGGAGUUCCAAAGAUCCACAUCUCAAGUAAGAUGAUCCACAUCUCAAGUAAGACAUUCUGUGUUUAUGCAUGGGUCAAUUAUAUACCAAGUUAUCUAAGUAGAUCAUAUAAUUCUUAAUAUUGUGUGCAAUUUUGUCAGAGAAGAUUAUGUUGGCGGUUAAAUCCUGAUUUGGAAGCAAGGCAAAAUGAUUCUCUCCCAUGUUCUUACUUAUGAAAUACUUAAGCAGUUUAGAACAGAUGUAUGGAUAAUUUACUUACAAGAAUGUUACAAGCUUUUAGAAAUUUCUAUUUAUAAAACAUGGACAGUUUCUAUUCUAAUAAAAAUAUGCAAGUCCACAAGAACUUCAAUUUUCCACUAUAUAUUCAAAUCCUUCUUCGUGACCUAGGAAAAAGUGAUCGCCAAAUUAGAGUAUCAAUUCCAUGUCUGUACGGCACUCCUGUUCCCUCCACUUCCUUGGAUUGUAAACAAUAUAACUGCAAUAUUCCUUCAAUCUACUCUAUCACUACCAAUACACAUUGUUUCACCUACUUUAUAAGUCCAGACAAAAUAAGACAAUCAAAAGUUGCAUGCUUAUCGACAGAAGAAAGAAAAAUCACAUAGCAGUGCUUGUGGGACCACAUUGAUAUAGUGUAAUGGUGAAAGUUCAACAUCUGGUUAUGCACCUAUUUAUGGUUCUCCAUUGUUGAACUUGAAAUUUGAAAAGGCAGAAUAGGGUAAUACCACAUACUUUUCUGACAAUAUAUAUACAUAUUCAUAUCCAAUAAAUUAGUGAAUCAGGUCUUACCCAGAUAAAUUUCUCUAACUGAAUACAAAUAAAGAUGCAGGACCAUAUACAUAUAAAAAUAAGAGGAAGCUGUGCAUGCUUUGCUUGGUAAAAUGAGGCAGCAAAUGUAAGGUAUAAGUACAGUACCACAUUUUCAAAAGAAGAUUUCUUCUAGAUGUGAUAACAUAACUAUUAUAACAGGAUCGAAGAGAACAUAAGAGUGAAUGAAGACAUUCACUGACAUAUACAUCUCAC